This 485-nucleotide ribosomal RNA is filed under the name uncultured bacterium. Its description in RNAcentral is "partial 16S ribosomal RNA". It matches the Rfam family "Bacterial small subunit ribosomal RNA", at positions 30 to 507 of the family's 1533-position model. The record is from RNAcentral.
AUUGAACGCUGGCGGCAGGCUUAACACAUGCAAGUCGAGCGGGGAAAUGUAGCUUGCUACAUUACCUAGCGGCGGACGGGUGAGUAAUGCUUAGGAAUCUGCCUAUUAGUGGGGGACAACAUCUCGAAAGGGAUGCUAAUACCGCAUACGUCCUACGGGAGAAAGCAGGGGACCUUCGGGCCUUGCGCUAAUAGAUGAGCCUAAGUCGGAUUAGCUAGUUGGUGGGGUAAAGGCCUACCAAGGCGACGAUCUGUAGCGGGUCUGAGAGGAUGAUCCGCCACACUGGGACUGAGACACGGCCCAGACUCCUACGGGAGGCAGCAGUGGGGAAUAUUGGACAAUGGGGGGAACCCUGAUCCAGCCAUGCCGCGUGUGUGAAGAAGGCCUUUUGGUUGUAAAGCACGUUAAGCGAGGAGGAGGCUACCGAGAUUAAUACUCUUGGAUAGUGGACGUUACUCGCAGAAUAAGCACCGGCUAACUCUGUG